ACCAGACUCCUACGGGAGGCAGCAGUGGGGAAUAUUGCACAAUGGGGGAAACCCUGAUGCAGCGACGCCGCGUGAGCGAUGAAGUAUUUCGGUAUGUAAAGCUCUAUCAGCAGGGAAGAAGAUGACGGUACCUGACUAAGAAGCCCCGGCUAACUACGUGCCAGCAGCCGCGGUAAUACGUAGGGGGCAAGCGUUAUCCGGAUUUACUGGGUGUAAAGGGGGCGCAGGCGGCGUGUCAAGUCAGCGGUAAAAUGUCGGGGCUCAACCCCUGCCGGCCGUUGAAGCUGGCGUGCUCGAGUUGGAGAGAAGUAUGCGGAAUUCGUGGUGUAGCGGUGAAAUGCAUAGAUAUCACGAAGAACCCCGAUUGCGAAGGCAGCAUACCGGCUCCACACUGACGCUGAGGCACGAAAGCGUGGGUAUCGAACAGGAUUAGAUACCCUUGUAAU
Molecule: ribosomal RNA, 446 nt
Filed under: uncultured bacterium
Lineage: Bacteria
Description: partial 16S ribosomal RNA
Rfam family: Bacterial small subunit ribosomal RNA
Source: RNAcentral